GGCCCAAUGUUGUGGAGGAGGAAAGCGAAAAAGCCCAUAUGAAUAUUUAGUGUCUUGGGUUUCUCAGUCCAACUUUUUGCAGCAAACACUCGACACAUUGAAGGUUAGGUCUGAGCAUCUGCCAUAGAUCGGCAGUUACAAUACAUUUUCAGUCUUUCUUGUAAAACACAUCCAACUACUAUUUAUUAAUUACAGCAGUAAUACCUCCUCUCUCUAUCUCUAUUUUGAGUAUCUUUCCACCUUCUCAAUGCUAAGCCUCUUUCUUUUCCAACAUGAUCCCUCCUCUUCUUCUCUGUCAAUCAUGUCUGUAAUGCCAUUGAUGGUUAGGUCAGUGUUGAGGAUGGUGAGGGCACUGGUGGGUCAACCAGCUUCUACUUUCACAACCUUGCUUUACUACAGUGAUCUCCUCCCUAGAAAUCUUAACUUAGAGCGUUUGGUUCGACAUGAACAUUUGGACCCCGAUAACUAUUUGUUCCAUUUCCUCAUCAAUGUCCUCAGAUGUUUCUGAGUAUGAAAUGGAAAUCUGCUAUUUGUGGAAAAUUUAAGAAGAAAGCAGGCUAGCUCUUACGGUUAAGGUAAUAUUUAGUAUAUAUAUACAUAUUCAGCUAGAUUGUAUGCAUACGUUAUUUGUGUCAGUGACUCACUGAAAUCUACCUAGUCCAGUAAUCAUAAACUCUUGGGUUUGUAAGUUAAAUAACUAAACUGGUUCUGUACAUCUAUAUUCUGACUUUCUGAGAUGCGAAAAUAGGAGCAUCAUCCAUUCAUUUUGCUUU
This is a long non-coding RNA of Ziziphus jujuba (common jujube), 773 nucleotides long. RefSeq lists it as uncharacterized. The transcript has 3 exons. The record is from RefSeq and is a predicted model, not a curated record. Lineage: Eukaryota; Viridiplantae; Streptophyta; Magnoliopsida; Rosales; Rhamnaceae.